GGAGAAGAAGGUAAAUGAAAUCCCCAAAGCUUCGGAGACAGAUGCAAAUGUAAUGAGGAACAAUCGGUUCUCUCACGGAAUGAUUCAACCCCAACUCCGGGAGGGAACAUGGCGAUAACUGCAGGACAUCGCCAUGCGACCUUCACGCUUGCUCCCGUUUGGCCUUCCUGCAUCUCCGCCAGUUAUCUUUGCAGUCGACGGAGGUCUUCCCACCAUCCCGUAAUUAACUAGCGACGCUGCUCAUCAGGCGCUGUUAAAAGUCGCCCGUAAUAGCGUCCGCAGAGAGACGGACGGUCGGGAGCGUUGGACCUCCUGCUGCCCUUUCAAGUUAUUGAGUUUGCCUGCUGAAUGCACAGAAAGCAGCUGCGGAGGACAGGCUGGCCUUGCGUUAUUCAGCAUCUGGGAAUCGCCAAAUAACCUUCCAUGUUUGUUCUUGUUCGCAAAGUCCACAGACAGCCCUUUGUGAAAUCUCACUAAAUGAAGAUAUUUAAAACCUCUCUUCUUCUCAGAUUCUACUUCGCUUAUUCAACUUUUAUUAAAUUUUAUCUGUCGUCUUUGUGCCUCCAUGAAAGCAAAU
Molecule: long non-coding RNA, 577 nt
Organism: Syngnathus typhle (broad-nosed pipefish)
Lineage: Eukaryota; Metazoa; Chordata; Actinopteri; Syngnathiformes; Syngnathidae
Exons: 3
Source: RefSeq, a predicted model, not a curated record